Molecule: ribosomal RNA, 253 nt
Filed under: uncultured bacterium
Lineage: Bacteria
Description: partial 16S ribosomal RNA
Rfam family: Bacterial small subunit ribosomal RNA
Source: RNAcentral
UACGUAGGGAGCAAGCGUUGUCCGGAAUCAUUGGGCGUAAAGCGCGCGUAGGCGGCCCUGUAAGUCCGUUGUGAAAGUCAAAGGCUCAACCUUUGAAAGCCGAUGGAUACUGCAGGGCUAGAGUCCGGAAGAGGCGAGUGGAAUUCCUGGUGUAGAGGUGGAAUGCGCAGAUAUCAGGAGGAACACCAAUAGCGAAGGCAGCUCGCUGGGACGGUACUGACGCUAAGGCGCGAAAGCGUGGGGAGCGAACAGG